Molecule: ribosomal RNA, 1058 nt
Filed under: Micrococcus terreus
Lineage: Bacteria; Bacillati; Actinomycetota; Actinomycetes; Micrococcales; Micrococcaceae
Description: bacterial SSU rRNA
Rfam family: Bacterial small subunit ribosomal RNA
Source: RNAcentral
AAGUUUGAUCCUGGCUCUGUAAGUCAGUAUUGCGGGGGCGGAUUAGUGGCGAACGGGUGAGUAACACGUGAGUAACCUGCCCUUGACUCUGGGAUAAGCCUGGGAAACUGGGUCUAAUACUGGAUAUGACUUCUCACCGCAUGGUGGGGGGUGGAAAGAUUUAUUGGUCUUGGAUGGACUCGCGGCCUAUCAGCUUGUUGGUGAGGUAAUGGCUCACCAAGGCGACGACGGGUAGCCGGCCUGAGAGGGUGACCGGCCACACUGGGACUGAGACACGGCCCAGACUCCUACGGGAGGCAGCAGUGGGGAAUAUUGCACAAUGGGCGCAAGCCUGAUGCAGCGACGCCGCGUGAGGGAUGACGGCCUUCGGGUUGUAAACCUCUUUCAGUAGGGAAGAAGCGAAAGUGACGGUACCUGCAGAAGAAGCGCCGGCUAACUACGUGCCAGCAGCCGCGGUAAUACGUAGGGCGCGAGCGUUAUCCGGAAUUAUUGGGCGUAAAGAGCUCGUAGGCGGUUUGUCGCGUCUGCCGUGAAAGUCCGGGGCUUAACCCCGGAUCUGCGGUGGGUACGGGCAGACUAGAGUGCAGUAGGGGAGACUGGAAUUCCUGGUGUAGCGGUGAAAUGCGCAGAUAUCAGGAGGAACACCGAUGGCGAAGGCAGGUCUCUGGGCUGUAACUGACGCUGAGGAGCGAAAGCAUGGGGAGCGAACAGGAUUAGAUACCCUGGUAGUCCAUGCCGUAAACGUUGGGCACUAGGUGUGGGGGACAUUCCACGUUUUCCGCGCCGUAGCUAACGCAUUAAGUGCCCCGCCUGGGGAGUACGGCCGCAAGGCUAAAACUCAAAGGAAUUGACGGGGGCCCGCACAAGCGGCGGAGCAUGCGGAUUAAUUCGAUGCAACGCGAAGAACCUUACCAAGGCUUGACAUGUUCCUGACCGCCGUAGAGAUACGGUUUCCCCUUUGGGGCAGGUUCACAGGUGGUGCAUGGUUGUCGUCAGCUCGUGUCGGGAGAUGUGGUUAAGUCCCGCAACGAGCGCACCCUCGUUCCAUGUUGGCCAGC